Molecule: non-coding RNA, 27 nt
Filed under: Rattus norvegicus (Norway rat)
Lineage: Eukaryota; Metazoa; Chordata; Mammalia; Rodentia; Muridae
Source: RNAcentral
UGGGAUUUAGUGUAUUUCAUUUGUGUA